Long non-coding RNA from Folsomia candida, 998 nucleotides. RefSeq lists it as uncharacterized. The record is from RefSeq and is a predicted model, not a curated record. Lineage: Eukaryota; Metazoa; Arthropoda; Collembola; Entomobryomorpha; Isotomidae. The transcript has 2 exons.
AUCCAAAUUAGUUCAAGAUUUGAUGCAGUAUUGACAAAACAGCCAAACGUUUCAUUCGUGUUUCUUGUUCAUCGCAUUAUAAAUAAACAAGACGUCACAUCUUGAGAAUUUAUUUAGAUUUACCCAUUGAGACGAAGCAGCGAAAGAAUAUCUAUAAAACUGUGAUCCAGGAUCACAAAAGACUGGCAAAGAUAUCUUGGAAGGAAGUGAAGAUGCAGCCUCUUGAAUGGCGAGAAGCCACUGUUCCAAGAUCUGUUUGUCUGGGGAUUUCUGUAACCAGAUUGAACAUUUCAAGUGGCGACUUGUUGAACAGGCCAAUAACCCAAAUAUGUCGAAAUUACAUAUGGGCAGAUCAUAAUUAAAAUGUAUAAGACUUCUCACCAAAUAGUAGACUUGAGAUCGGGUCACAAUCUGUAUCGGAUAUCCUUUACACCCUCGUAUUUGAAUUGGUCUAACGGUUGAAGCUAUUCCUAAAUUUAUAGAUCCGCAGCAAACUGACAAACCAUCAUAGUCUGAUUUUGACUUGUAAUACGCCAACAAUCGCCCAUCCAGCACGAACCAAAAUUUUUUCCAACCAAGCUGAAAUUAUAAACAUUUAUUAAGAGUCGGAUAUUAAUAAUUUGCAAAACACACUUGACAAAGUAACAUUACAAAUCUUAUCACCGUCCUAAACCGCAAUUUAUUUAAUAUGAAGCCGUGACGAACAAGUAAUACCUCUUCCGUUCUAACAAAAUUUACAUAAUACGACGACACCAAGGAGGAGGAAAGUUGACCACGAAAAAUUACUGCAAACUGUGGAAAUAUCUAUUGCUGUUUUAUUAUAGAAUGGCUUAUUUUAGUCUAAAACCAACCAACCACCCACUCGCUUAACUUAUCGACACGCAUAAUGCUCUUUUGGCAAUAAGAGUUAUUAGUCAUGAGUUAAUAUACAUACCACCAAUAUGUUUUAUUUUAUUGUGUUUAUUCCAAUGUUUAGUGAAAUGAUAUUCACUCGGUAA